RNAcentral lists this ribosomal RNA (391 nucleotides) under uncultured bacterium. Its description in RNAcentral is "bacterial SSU rRNA". It matches the Rfam family "Bacterial small subunit ribosomal RNA", at positions 32 to 410 of the family's 1533-position model. The record is from RNAcentral.
AAUCAACGCUGGCGGCGUGCCUAACACAUGCAAGUCGAACGCGAAAGGGGCUUCGGCCCUGAGUAGAGUGGCGUCCGGGUGAGUAACGCGUGGGUAAUCUACCCUCGGGUGGGAAUAACCAAUCGAAAGAUUGGCUAAUACCGCAUAAUGCAGCGGCUCGACAUCGAGACAGUUGUUAAAGCCUCUUCGCAAGAAGGGGCGCCUGAGGAGGAGCCUGCGUCUGAUAGCUUGUUGGCGGGGUAACGGCCCACCAAGGCUACGAUCAGUAGCUGGUCUGAGAGGACGGCCAGCCACAAUGGCACUGAAACACGGGCCAUACUCCACGGGAGCAGCAGUGGGAAUUUUGCGCAAUGGGCGAAAAGCCUGACGCAGCAACGCCGCGUGAAGGAUG